RNAcentral lists this ribosomal RNA (1071 nucleotides) under Bacillus sp. X1C. RNAcentral's name for it is "bacterial SSU rRNA". It matches the Rfam family "Bacterial small subunit ribosomal RNA", at positions 223 to 1398 of the family's 1533-position model. RNAcentral also lists the same sequence under 1 other name. Lineage: Bacteria; Bacillati; Bacillota; Bacilli; Caryophanales; Bacillaceae. The record is from RNAcentral.
GAAUGGGCCCGCGGCGCAUUUAGCUAGUUGGUGAGGUAACGGCUCACCAAGGCGACGAUGCGUAGCCGACCUGAGAGGGUGAUCGGCCACACUGAGACUGAGACACGGCCCAGACUCCUACGGGAGGCAGCAGUAGGGAAUCUUCCGCAAUGGACGAAAGUCUGACGGAGCAACGCCGCGUGAGCGAUGAAGGCCUUCGGGUCGUAAAGCUCUGUUGUUAGGGAAGAACAAGUAUCGGAGUAACUGCCGGUACCUUGACGGUACCUAACCAGAAAGCCACGGCUAACUACGUGCCAGCAGCCGCGGUAAUACGUAGGUGGCAAGCGUUGUCCGGAAUUAUUGGGCGUAAAGCGCGCGCAGGCGGUCCUUUAAGUCUGAUGUGAAAGCCCACGGCUCAACCGUGGAGGGUCAUUGGAAACUGGGGGACUUGAGUACAGAAGAGGAAAGCGGAAUUCCACGUGUAGCGGUGAAAUGCGUAGAGAUGUGGAGGAACACCAGUGGCGAAGGCGGCUUUCUGGUCUGUAACUGACGCUGAGGCGCGAAAGCGUGGGGAGCAACCAGGAUUAGAUAAACUCAAAGGAAUUGACGGGGGCCCGCACAAGCGGUGGAGCAUGUGGUUUAAUUUGAAGCAACGCGAAGAACCUUACCAGGUCUUGACAUCCUCUGACACUCCUAGAGAUAGGACGUUCCCCUUCGGGGGACAGAGUGACAGGUGGUGCAUGGUUGUCGUCAGCUCGUGUCGUGAGAUGUUGGGUUAAGUCCCGCAACGAGCGCAACCCUUGUUCUUAGUUGCCAGCAUUUAGUUGGGCACUCUAAGGAGACUGCCGGUGACAAACCGGAGGAAGGUGGGGAUGACGUCAAAUCAUCAUGCCCCUUAUGACCUGGGCUACACACGUGCUACAAUGGAUGGUACAAAGGGCUGCAAGACCGCGAGGUUUAGCCAAUCCCAUAAAACCAUUCUCAGUUCGGAUUGCAGGCUGCAACUCGCCUGCAUGAAGCCGGAAUCGCUAGUAAUCGCGGAUCAGCAUGCCGCGGUGAAUACGUUCCCGGGCCUUGUACACACCGCCCGUC